AGACAAAUUCAAAAAGCCUUGCCCAUGAACUCCCAAAUUUGCAUUAGAAUGUAUCACAGAGGAUUCCUUGAGAACAACUAAAUUGCUAGCCUCAAGCAAAGAUGUUGCUACAAUUGCAUCACCACCUCCAUCUAUAAGCAUUUUGGAAUUCCACAUCAAAUGUAUUUUGACAGACAUUCGAAGAGCUCCAUAUAUCUUAACAACAGAGUCGCUC
This 214-nucleotide unclassified non-coding RNA is filed under the name Hevea brasiliensis (rubber tree). Lineage: Eukaryota; Viridiplantae; Streptophyta; Magnoliopsida; Malpighiales; Euphorbiaceae. The record is from RNAcentral.